This 219-nucleotide ribosomal RNA is filed under the name uncultured bacterium. Its description in RNAcentral is "partial 16S ribosomal RNA". It matches the Rfam family "Bacterial small subunit ribosomal RNA", at positions 111 to 334 of the family's 1533-position model. The record is from RNAcentral.
UAAUGUAUGGGAUCUGCCCGAUAGAGGGGGAUAACUACUGGAAACGGUGGCUAAUACCGCAUAAUGUCUACGGACCAAAGCAGGGGCUCUUCGGACCUUGCACUAUCGGAUGAACCCAUAUGGGAUUAGCUAGUAGGUGGGGUAAAGGCUCACCUAGGCGACGAUCUCUAGCUGGUCUGAGAGGAUGAUCAGCCACACUGGGACUGAGACACGGCCCAG